UGAGCUUGAUCAUGGCUCAGAUUGAACGCUGGCGGCAGGCCUAACACAUGCAAGUCGAGCGGUAGAGAGAAGCUUGCUUCUCUUGAGAGCGGCGGACGGGUGAGUAAUGCCUAGGAAUCUGCCUGGUAGUGGGGGAUAACGUUCGGAAACGGACGCUAAUACCGCAUACGUCCUACGGGAGAAAGCAGGGGACCUUCGGGCCUUGCGCUAUCAGAUGAGCCUAGGUCGGAUUAGCUAGUUGGUGAGGUAAUGGCUCACCAAGGCGACGAUCCGUAACUGGUCUGAGAGGAUGAUCAGUCACACUGGAACUGAGACACGGUCCAGACUCCUACGGGAGGCAGCAGUGGGGAAUAUUGGACAAUGGGCGAAAGCCUGAUCCAGCCAUGCCGCGUGUGUGAAGAAGGUCUUCGGAUUGUAAAGCACUUUAAGUUGGGAGGAAGGGCCAUUACCUAAUACGUGAUGGUUUGACGUACC
RNAcentral lists this ribosomal RNA (474 nucleotides) under Pseudomonas sp. 01WB03.3-16. Its description in RNAcentral is "bacterial SSU rRNA". It matches the Rfam family "Bacterial small subunit ribosomal RNA", at positions 1 to 479 of the family's 1533-position model. The record is from RNAcentral. Lineage: Bacteria; Pseudomonadati; Pseudomonadota; Gammaproteobacteria; Pseudomonadales; Pseudomonadaceae.